RNAcentral lists this long non-coding RNA (299 nucleotides) under Elaeis guineensis (African oil palm). Its description in RNAcentral is "long non-coding RNA (EGUI_LNC070520)". The record is from RNAcentral. Lineage: Eukaryota; Viridiplantae; Streptophyta; Magnoliopsida; Arecales; Arecaceae.
GAGUCUUCCUUGCGGUUGAAGUUGGGGACGAAGCCCGGCUCCCAUAGGAGUCCGGGCGGCGCUUACCAGCAGUUGGAGUUAUGGACGGAGCCCGGCUCCCUUAGGAGUCCGGGCGGAGUCUUCCUUGUGGUUGAAGUUGGAGAAGGAGCCCGGCUCCCGUAGGAGUCCGGGCGACGCUUACCAGCAGUUGGAGUUGUGGACGGAGCUCGGCUCCCGUAGGAGUCCGGGCGGAGUCUUCUUGCGGUCGGAGUUGUGGGCGGAGUCCGGCUCCUGUAGGAGUCCGGGCGGAGUCUGCUUGC